This 119-nucleotide microRNA precursor is filed under the name Marmota monax (woodchuck). Lineage: Eukaryota; Metazoa; Chordata; Mammalia; Rodentia; Sciuridae. The record is from RNAcentral.
AGUGAAAUUGCUGGUUCAUAUGGUAACUCCAUGUUUUUAUUUAUUUAUUUAUUUACUUUUUGGGGAACUGAGAAACUAUUUCCAAAGUAGCUGUCCCAUUCUACAUUACCACCAGCAAC